Molecule: long non-coding RNA, 608 nt
Organism: Suricata suricatta (meerkat)
Lineage: Eukaryota; Metazoa; Chordata; Mammalia; Carnivora; Herpestidae
Exons: 4
Source: RefSeq, a predicted model, not a curated record
GAUGCAAAUACGCGUCUUCCACCAAGUGCCUCGCAUCUUACAGAUUUCUGCAAUUCCAUCUCUUACUCUUUACUCUCAGGAUUCAGAUCCACCCAUUGUAUAAUUAUAUGCUCUUCAAGAGAAAUUGAUGACUGUGCAUGGUCCAUUAGCCAGCGGAAUGCUGGCAAAUGUGCCUCGUGUUCAACUACCAGCAAGUUCUCCUCAAGUGAAGUAUUCUCCUUUUUUACCUUUCUGUUUCCUGUGAUGUGAAAACCAUGGCUGGGGUUUCAACAGUUUGGAGAUAACGGCAUGAUCUGAAGUCAGAGGAAUGAGACAGAAGGAACCAAUAUGGCACUCUGGGCCAUCACACCAACCUUAGGCUACAUCUUCCUUGAGGCUGGACUGGAAAAAUAUAAAAGCCAAAUGACCAAGUUAGCUUUGGAAUCCUUAUAUUGCUCUCCAAGAAGCAUACGGUCUGAUCGAGUGUUGAGCACAGCAGGAAAUAUCAUUACAGACCUAGAAUCCAGAUUUCUACCAGAAAAUGCGAAGCAUCUGGCAGUUUUGAAAGAAUGCAGCCACAAGCAUGGUGUGUCGAAUAACUAACAGUGAAAAUAAAGGGAAGAUUGGAG